RNAcentral lists this ribosomal RNA (515 nucleotides) under uncultured bacterium. RNAcentral describes it as "partial 16S ribosomal RNA". It matches the Rfam family "Bacterial small subunit ribosomal RNA", at positions 28 to 523 of the family's 1533-position model. The record is from RNAcentral.
GAUGAACGCUGGCGGCGUGCCUAAUACAUGCAAGUCGAGCGAAUGGAUUGAGAACUUGCUCUUAUGAAGUUAGCGGCGGACGGGUGAGUAACACGUGGGUAACCUGCCCAUAAGACUGGGAUAACUCCGGGAAACCGGGGCUAAUACCGGAUAAUAUUUUGAACUGCAUGGUUCAAAAUUGAAAGGCGGCUUCGGCUGUCACUUAUGGAUGGACCCGCGUCGCAUUAGCUGGUUGGUGAGGUAACGGCUCACCAAGGCAACGAUGCGUAGCCGGCCUGAGAGGGGGAUCGGCCACCCUGGGACUGAGACACGGCCCAGACUCCUACGGGAGGCAGCAGUAGGGAAUCUGCCGCAAUGGACGAAAGUCUGACGGAGCAACGCCGCGUGGGUGAUGAAGGCUUUCGGGUCGUAAAACUCUGUUGCUAGGGAAGAACAAGUGCUAGUUGAAUAAGCUGGCACCUUGACGGUACCUAACCAGAAAGCCACGGCUAACUACGUGCCAGCAGCCGCCGUAA